AAAUGAAUUGACGGGGACCCGCACAAGCAGCGGAGCAUGUGGUUUAAUUCGAAGCAACGCGAAGAACCUUACCAGGGCUUGACAUCCCUCUGACCGGCGGGUAAAACCGCCCUCCCUUCGGGGCAGAGGAGACAGGUGGUGCAUGGUUGUCGUCAGCUCGUGUCGUGAGAUGUUGGGUUAAGUCCCGCAACGAGCGCAACCCUUGUCAUUAGUUGCCAGCAGUUAGGCUGGGCACUCUAAUGAGACUGCCGGGAACAACUCGGAGGAAGGUGGGGAUGACGUCAAAUCAUCAUGCCCCUUAUGUUCUGGGCUACACACGUGCUACAAUGGCCGGUACAAAGAGAAGCAAAGUUGUGAAGCGGAGCAAAUCUGUUAAAACCGGUCUCAGUUCGGAUUGCAGGCUGAAACCCGCCUGCAUGAAGUUGGAGUUGCUAGUAAUCGUGAAUCAGAAUGUCACGGUGAAUGCGUUCCCGGGUCUUGUACACACCGCCCGU
This 494-nucleotide ribosomal RNA is filed under the name uncultured bacterium. Its description in RNAcentral is "bacterial SSU rRNA". It matches the Rfam family "Bacterial small subunit ribosomal RNA", at positions 903 to 1397 of the family's 1533-position model. The record is from RNAcentral.